RNAcentral lists this long non-coding RNA (979 nucleotides) under Malus domestica (apple). Its description in RNAcentral is "long non-coding RNA (MDOM_LNC016503)". The record is from RNAcentral. Lineage: Eukaryota; Viridiplantae; Streptophyta; Magnoliopsida; Rosales; Rosaceae.
GUGUCGCAUUGUGAUUGGCCUCCUGGUUGAAGGGAAGCUCUUCUAGGUCCUUGACGGUAUAACGUUGACCAGUGCUCAGUAGUUUCGGGAUUGGUCAAGUAUGGUACAAACAUCAAGAAAUUCGAUAAAAUAUAUGAGGAUAAUACGUCCGCGUAUAAUUAUGUUAAACCAACUAAGGCAUUUUCGUUUUUUUCACUUAUCGAUAAAUUUUACGACGUAAAUUAUAAUAAUUUCAGGAAACAAAACUAUAAAAGUUCUCAAUUCAAUUUUUCAUAACCAUAAAUCGAUUUAUUUUCGAUUUUUCUCCACAUAUUCAUAUAUUGAAAUUUUUAGGGUAUUAUACAUUUUCUAGGUAGGGUUUAAUUUUGUAGUAGUAUAUAUAAGGCUAUUUAGCCAUUAGAUUAUGGAAGGGGGCAUCACUUUGGAGAACUUAGCUAGGCUUUGACGAUUUGUAUUUCAAGGUGUUUUCUAUCCUUUUUCUAUUUCAAUAAAAUUCUUUUUGUUUUAUGGUUGUUCGUAACUUAUUUCUGUUUGCUAGGGUAAUGCCUUGAGCCUUAGUAUGAAUAUGUAGUCUUUAUUUAAUUACUUAUGAUAUUAUGCAUGCAUACUUUGAAUUAUUAAUCACUGUGUUUAACCUGUCUUUAUAUCUUAAUGCUUAGCUAUCAUUAGGAUGUUUAGAUAAUUAAUUGGAUGCAAUUCGGUUGGAAUACCACUGGGGGAUUGAGUAUUGCUUCUUGUGAUUGAUAAUUUCACUUAGGGAGAAUACCACGUCUUAGGGGUUGCAUGGUUUUUCAAAGGGUUUUCACAAGGCGUAAUGAGUCAUGCAUAUUUACAUUUGAUCUGAAUACCAUAUACGUUCUAGCUUGAACACCACAAGUAGAUUAUGCAUUAGGAAAACCUAACUUUUAAAGUUGCAUGGGUAAUUCAUAAGUAAUUAGUAAAUCUACAUAGGAUUGUUAAGAGGAUGGCGGAACCCUAG